RNAcentral lists this ribosomal RNA (377 nucleotides) under uncultured Streptococcus sp. Its description in RNAcentral is "bacterial SSU rRNA". It matches the Rfam family "Bacterial small subunit ribosomal RNA", at positions 1000 to 1382 of the family's 1533-position model. Lineage: Bacteria; Bacillati; Bacillota; Bacilli; Lactobacillales; Streptococcaceae. The record is from RNAcentral.
CUAGAGAUAGAAGUUACUUCGGUACAUCGGUGACAGGUGGUGCAUGGUUGUCGUCAGCUCGUGUCGUGAGAUGUUGGGUUAAGUCCCGCAACGAGCGCAACCCCUAUUGUUAGUUGCCAUCAUUCAGUUGGGCACUCUAGCGAGACUGCCGGUAAUAACCGGAGGAAGGUGGGAUGACGUCAAAUCAUCAUGCCCCUUAUGACCUGGGCUACACACGUGCUACAAUGGUUGGUACAACGAGUUGCGAGUCGGUGACGGCGAGCUAAUCUCUUAAAGCCAAUCUCAGUUCGGAUUGUAGGCUGCAACUCGCCUACAUGAAGUCGGAAUCGCUAGUAAUCGCGGAUCAGCACGCCGCGGUGAAUACGUUCCCGGGCCUU